GGGGGUGGACAACAAUUCUGCUCAACUCGGGAAACUGAUCUCUGGUCGACCACAAAAUAAGGUAAGCAAAAACCUGUUAAAUCAAAUUUUGCAUAUUGUCGUAUAGUCAUACCAAAUUACGAUCAGUAGUACCGAGUGUGGGUAAGAAUUUUUGUGUAAAUUUAACGUAAAUAAUUGACUUGAAAUUGACAGUGAAGUGAACAUAUGUGGUAAUUAAGGUAGACCUAAAUUGUGUUAACGCUAGAAUAUUCCGAUAGUCCGGCUUGAGAACGGUCCGGCUGGGUCCGGUAAGGGAUAAAAUGUCAAUAUAGAAUAUUCCGAUAGUCCGGCUUGAGAACGGUCCGGCUGCGUCCGGUAAGGGAUAAAAUAGUCAAUAUAGAGUUGCUACCGAUAGUCCGGCUAGUGACCGGUCCGGCUUGUGUCCGGUAAGGUGUCUACAUAACUGUUUACUGUGUUUGAGAAUUUGUAAUCAAACUGUAGUGUUAAUCCGUUUCGAUUGAAUUGCACGAUUUAGAAAUUACAUUGACUGAAUGAAAUGUGUUGAUUCCUGUGGUCAAAAUAAUUAGUUAAAAUGGUUCUGUAAAUUGCAAACGGUGUUCCACGAGACCCUGCGGUGGAUAACUUAAAAUAUUUAGAAAUAAUAUAUCCGUUCAUACAUUGGCUCUGAUAAAAUACAUCGGGACAAGUUAAAACCUAUUAGAAUAAAUAUUCGGCUGCAAUAACAAUUAUAAAAUGGCGACCCCCAAUACUCCCAAGCUAAGAUAGCCAAGGUGUGUGCAGGUACAAAAUUGACAUGGGUGGAGGCCCUGCCCCUGGCAUUGAUGGCCAUGAGGUCCUCACCAGGUGCAGGGACCCACCUUUCACCCCAUGAAAUAAUGACAGGCAGAGUAAUGCCAGGGCCGCCAAGAGAGGGAGGUCAUAUGCCCCCUCUUGAUGUGCACCAGAUAUGCAUGACUGACUAUGUAAAGAAAUUGACAGAACUUUCUGCAGCUCUCUCCAAACAGAUACACAGAGUCCAAGAGGGGGAGCUGACAGGAGAUCCAGAGCAACCAAGGGUAAAGGUCGGAGAUUGGGUAAGGAUCAAGGUCCACAAGAGAAAGUGGCAGGAUCCCAGGUGGACUGGACCGUACGAAGUGAAGGAGGUUACUUCACACUCAGUCCAGGUCAAAGGUAAAUCAGGGGCGCCUUGGCACCACUUGACUCAUUGCACCCCAGCUUCGAUUCCCAACAGAACACUGACAGAGGUCAGGGUCGACUUGAGCGACUUAAAUUCGGCUCCAAUACAACCCGAUUAGCAGGUGACGAUGUGGACCAGACUCCCAUCGGCAUCGGCUAAUGGGCCUCCUAGGGAUAGGGGUUAUCCCUGGACUAGACUGGGCAUAUCUGGCCCCGGUUUAUUUGUGUGUUUGUAAAUGCAUAUGUCUACUGAAUGAUAAAUUGAACGAAUGUUUAGACAAUGUUUUAGAUGUGUUGACUAUAUUGAGUGAAUGUUCAAACGAUGUUUUAGAUGUGCUCUGGCGUAAAUGAAGAUUUGUGAGACUCAAAUCGUGUGCAUGAAAUACGCUUGAUAUUCAGUCGGGGACUAAUAUCGGUAUGAAUGAGGUCGGGGACCAAGCGAGUGUGGUACAUUAGGUAUUUCAGUUGGAGCUGGUACCGGUGAGAAUGUUGAAAAAGUCGCAGGCUUGCUGAUGAGAGUUAUAUCAUAGAAUAUUGAGGGGGGUGCAUGACUGUUGGAAAAAGUGUUAAACUCUAUUAACGUAAAAUUAUU
Molecule: long non-coding RNA, 1768 nt
Organism: Oncorhynchus tshawytscha (Chinook salmon)
Lineage: Eukaryota; Metazoa; Chordata; Actinopteri; Salmoniformes; Salmonidae
Source: Ensembl